GCCUACGGGUGGCAGCAGUGGGGAAUUUUGGACAAUGGGCGCAAGCCUGAUCCAGCAAUGCCGCGUGCAGGAAGAAGGCCUUCGGGUUGUAAACUGCUUUUGUACGGAACGAAACGGUCUGGGUUAAUACCCUGGGCUAAUGACGGUACCGUAAGAAUAAGCACCGGCUAACUACGUGCCAGCAGCCGCGGUAAUACGUAGGGUGCAAGCGUUAAUCGGAAUUACUGGGCGUAAAGCGUGCGCAGGCGGUUUUGUAAGACAGGCGUGAAAUCCCCGGGCUCAACCUGGGAAUUGCGCUUGUGACUGCAAGGCUGGAGUGCGGCAGAGGGGGAUGGAAUUCCGCGUGUAGCAGUGAAAUGCGUAGAUAUGCGGAGGAACACCGAUGGCGAAGGCAAUCCCCUGGGCCUGCACUGACGCUCAUGCACGAAAGCGUGGGGAGCAAACAGGAUUAGAUACCCUUGUAGUC
RNAcentral lists this ribosomal RNA (466 nucleotides) under uncultured Hydrogenophaga sp. Its description in RNAcentral is "bacterial SSU rRNA". It matches the Rfam family "Bacterial small subunit ribosomal RNA", at positions 337 to 795 of the family's 1533-position model. The record is from RNAcentral. Lineage: Bacteria; Pseudomonadati; Pseudomonadota; Betaproteobacteria; Burkholderiales; Comamonadaceae.